GGGCCCGCACAAGCGGUGGAGCAUGUGGUUUAAUUCGACGCAACGCGAAGAACCUUACCAAGGCUUGACAUCCCUCUGGCCGGACUUUAAUCGGUCCUUUUCUUCGGAACAGAGGAGACAGGUGGUGCAUGGUUGUCGUCAGCUCGUGUCGUGAGAUGUUGGGUUAAGUCCCGCAACGAGCGCAACCCUUGCAUCUAGUUGCCAUCAUUAAGUUGGGCACUCUAGAAGGACUGCCGGUGACAAACCGGAGGAAGGUGGGGAUGACGUCAAAUCAUCAUGCCCCUUAUGUCUUGGGCUACACACGUGCUACAAUGGGCAGUACAGAGGGUCGCGAGACCGCGAGGUUUAGCCAAUCCCAUAAAGCUGCUCUCAGUUCGGAUUGCAGGCUGCAACUCGCCUGCAUGAAGUCGGAAUCGCUAGUAAUCGCAGGUCAGCAUACUGCGGUGAAUACGUUCCCGGGCCUU
This 464-nucleotide ribosomal RNA is filed under the name uncultured bacterium. RNAcentral's name for it is "bacterial SSU rRNA". It matches the Rfam family "Bacterial small subunit ribosomal RNA", at positions 917 to 1382 of the family's 1533-position model. The record is from RNAcentral.